CUUCACUAAUGAAUGCACCAAGCAUUCUUUCUUUUAAUUGCGAUAGAAAAAUAUCUUUACAAACUACACUUUGGUUUAACCAAACAUAAUUAAAUCCAUAUCUAAACAAAAUAUCUCUAAUUUUACAACACCAGUUUUGUUUAUCGUUCUUUUUAAUAAAACUUCUGUCAUACAUCUCAUCAUAGCAAUUCUUUAAUAUACAAUUUUCUGUACUCAAAAUUUUUAACCAGUAUUUGACCAUUCUAUACUGCCUUUCAAUGUACAUUGGCAAUCUACCUAAUUCACAAUAAAUCAUAUUAGUUACAGCACUCAUUUUGACUUUAAGAAUACGUUUUAAAAAA
RNAcentral lists this long non-coding RNA (341 nucleotides) under Mytilus galloprovincialis (Mediterranean mussel). Lineage: Eukaryota; Metazoa; Mollusca; Bivalvia; Mytilida; Mytilidae. The record is from RNAcentral.